This 379-nucleotide ribosomal RNA is filed under the name uncultured bacterium. RNAcentral's name for it is "bacterial SSU rRNA". It matches the Rfam family "Bacterial small subunit ribosomal RNA", at positions 28 to 407 of the family's 1533-position model. The record is from RNAcentral.
GACGAACGCUGGCGGCGUGCUUAACACAUGCAAGUCGAGCGGUAAGGACCCUUUCGGGGGUACGACGAGCGGCGAACGGGUGAGUAACACGUGGGUGACCUGCCCUCAGCUCUGGGAUAAGCCUGGGAAACCGGGUCUAAUACUGGAUAUGACUCCAUGACGCAUGUUGUGGGGUGGAAAGCCUUGUGCGGCUGAGGAUGGGCCCGCGGCCUAUCAGCUUGUUGGUGGGGUGAGGCCUACCAAGGCGACGACGGGUAGCCGGCCUGAGAGGGCGACCGGCCACACUGGGACUGAGACACGGCCCAGACUCCUACGGGAGGCAGCAGUGGGGAAUAUUGGACAAUGGGCGCAAGCCUGAUCCAGCCAUGCCGCGUGUGUG